GAUGAACGCUGGCGGCGUGCCUAAUACAUGCAAGUCGAGCGAACAGACGAGGAGCUUGCUCCUCUGACGUUAGCGGCGGACGGGUGAGUAACACGUGGAUGACCUACCUAUAAGACUGGGAUAACUUCGGGAAACCGGAGCUAAUACCGGAUAAUAUAUUGAACCGCAUGGUUCAAUAGUGAAAGACGGUUUUGCUGUCACUUAUAGAUGGAUCCGCGCCGCAUUAGCUAGUUGGUAAGGUAACGGCUUACCAAGGCAACGAUGCGUAGCCGACCUGAGAGGGUGAUCGGCCACACUGGAACUGAGACACGGUCCAGACUCCUACGGGAGGUAGCAGUAGGGAAUCUUCCGCAAUGGGCGAAAGCCUGACGGAGCAACGCCGCGUGAGUGAUGAAGGUCUUCGGAUCGUAAAACUCUGUUAUUAGGGAAGAACAAAUGUGUAAGUAACUAUGCACGUCUUGACGGUACCUAAUCAGAAAGCCACGGCUAACUACGUG
RNAcentral lists this ribosomal RNA (497 nucleotides) under uncultured bacterium. RNAcentral describes it as "partial 16S ribosomal RNA". It matches the Rfam family "Bacterial small subunit ribosomal RNA", at positions 28 to 507 of the family's 1533-position model. The record is from RNAcentral.